Molecule: unclassified non-coding RNA, 632 nt
Filed under: Trichoderma citrinoviride
Lineage: Eukaryota; Fungi; Ascomycota; Sordariomycetes; Hypocreales; Hypocreaceae
Description: sequence contains 18S rRNA gene, ITS1, 5.8S rRNA gene, ITS2, 28S rRNA gene
Rfam family: 5.8S ribosomal RNA (bases 264-417)
Source: RNAcentral
UCGUAACAAGGUCUCCGUUGGUGAACCAGCGGAGGGAUCAUUACCGAGUUUACAACUCCCAAACCCAAUGUGAACGUUACCAAUCUGUUGCCUCGGCGGGAUUCUCUGCCCCGGGCGCGUCGCAGCCCCGGAUCCCAUGGCGCCCGCCGGAGGACCAACUCAAACUCUUUUUUCUCUCCGUCGCGGCCUACGUCGCGGCUCUGUUUUAUUUUUGCUCUGAGCCUUUCUCGGCGACCCUAGCGGGCGUCUCGAAAAUGAAUCAAAACUUUCAACAACGGAUCUCUUGGUUCUGGCAUCGAUGAAGAACGCAGCGAAAUGCGAUAAGUAAUGUGAAUUGCAGAAUUCAGUGAAUCAUCGAAUCUUUGAACGCACAUUGCGCCCGCCAGUAUUCUGGCGGGCAUGCCUGUCCGAGCGUCAUUUCAACCCUCGAACCCCUCCGGGGGGUCGGCGUUGGGGAUCGGCCCCUCACCGGGCCGCCCCCGAAAUACAGUGGCGGUCUCGCCGCAGCCUCUCCUGCGCAGUAGUUUGCACACUCGCACCGGGAGCGCGGCGCGGCCACAGCCGUAAAACACCCCAAACUCUGAAAUGUUGACCUCGGAUCAGGUAGGAAUACCCGCUGAACUUAAGCAUAU